CGGGUGAGUAACACGUAUCCAACCUGCCGUCUACUCUUGGACAGCCUUCUGAAAGGAAGAUUAAUACAAGAUGGCAUCAUGAGUCCACAUGUUCACAUGAUUAAAGGUAUUCCGGUAGACGAUGGGGAUGCGUUCCAUUAGAUAGUAGGCGGGGUAACGGCCCACCUAGUCUUCGAUGGAUAGGGGUUCUGAGAGGAAGGUCCCUCACAUUGGAACUGAGACACGGUCCAA
This 231-nucleotide ribosomal RNA is filed under the name uncultured bacterium. RNAcentral's name for it is "partial 16S ribosomal RNA". It matches the Rfam family "Bacterial small subunit ribosomal RNA", at positions 103 to 334 of the family's 1533-position model. The record is from RNAcentral.